Molecule: RNA transcript, 1933 nt
Organism: Pararge aegeria (speckled wood butterfly)
Lineage: Eukaryota; Metazoa; Arthropoda; Insecta; Lepidoptera; Nymphalidae
Exons: 8
Source: RefSeq, a predicted model, not a curated record
UAUGAACCUGAAAACAGAUAAGACUACAGUCUUAAUCAACAUUUUGUGGGUAGUUUAAAAAAAAUACUUAUCAAUUAUUGCGUGAAUAUCAUGGUGGAACAUUAGCAGUGAAAGUAUUUAUAAGAAAGUCUGUAUAAAAAGUUAAAAUGGACUGGAAAAGUGCAAAAUUUCUUUUAGCGUCCACAGCUACGGUUGUUAUUGCUUCGCAAGUGGCAAAAAAGUUGUGUAAAUACUUAUUUAAUUUUAAAAAAAGUUCACAACCAGAGGUUGCUAGCGACGAAGCAUGUAGUGAUAUGGUGAACAUAAGAAAUCGUGAAAUAAAUGACGUGAUAUUAUUUUCGGACGAUGUAAUUCGUCACACUAUAAAAGUCCAGCCUAAUAAAGACGUUACUAUAUGUGAAAGUAGAGAGUUAAAUUGCUUCAAAUUAAUAAAGUACAUCAAAUCAGCGCGUGAAACAUUGGAUGUGUGUAUGUAUCUGAUAACCAGUUCUGAAAUUGCUGAACAAUUGAUAAGGUUGGGACAAAGACAAGUUUUGAUACGAAUUGUUGUUGAUAGUGAUAUGGCUUUCACUGCACCAUCUCAAAUUAAGAAGCUAAAGGAAUACAGUUUUAUUCAGGUGCAGACCAAUAAAAAAUCAAUCCUGAUGCAUCAUAAAUUCUGUAUAGUAGAUGGUCCGAAAGCUGUCAAGCGGAAAAACAUACUAAAAGCUUACGCGGAAAAAUUGAAUAUUCAUGCACAGUUUACAAAGCAUAUUGCACAGCAAACGAAAAUAAGACCAUAUAAAGGUUUUGUUAUGUCUGGAUCAUUAAACUGGUCUACCCAAGCAAUGGUUUCGAACCACGAGAGCGUUAUUGUAACUUCACAUCCCAACAUCGUUAACAAAUUUGAAAAAGAGUUCGAAAGCUUAUGGGUGGAGGACGAACCAGCUUUUCUCUCAACGCUAUGACAAAUAAUAUUGAGACAACUCGAAGUAGACAAGUAUAAAAAUUAAGUUUCACAGUUAUAUUUUACGUUAAAUGCACCAAUGAUGCAACACCACAUGUGCAAGUGUUUCAGUGCAAGCAAUUCUCAUUGUGUGCAUCUACAUAAAAUACACAAAAACGACAAUUUUAAAACGUGAAACAAGUACAUUCAGUGUGUGAAGUUGCUGGCAUAUUAUUUUGCUGAAAAAAUUGUGUUUUGAAAAUAGUGCGCUUUUUGGAUGCAGUGUUUGUUCAUAGAUGGCGUUGUUAUCAUUGCUGAGCUAGUGAGGAAGCUGUUCUGCUACUCGCUACUAGAUGGCGCUGGUCCAGCGGGUUCAGCAGCCGAUAAUAUAAUUGAUAACGUCAGACCUUAGCUGCAAUCUCACCUGGUGGUUUGGCUUUACCGUAAAUACUACGUAAGCUACCAGUCACCACUUUCAGCAAUGAUAACGAAUGCGUCUGAUGCAGACUUUGCCUGUAUUCCAUUAGCUUUAUUUCCACCGUGUUAUAAAACCCGUUGUGCUCAAUGUUAGACCUAAAUUUUCAUAUAUCUGUUUAUUGUUGUCAACCUAUCACGCGAGGAAUACUAUGAAAUUUGCAGAAAAGACUAAUCACUAGGACAUUUCAAUUAUUUAUUUACCUUAAACUACGUGAUAGUGUUUCUCUGCAAUUUCGUGCAUUCCUAGGAGUAGUAUUUUGUAUUUGUAGCAUUGAGUACACGAGGUUAAUAUCUUUUGUUAACGAUAUCUUAAAUCAUGAUAAGGCCUCGGGAGGAAAAAGUAAGAAUGCCUCUUUAUUUUCUAAGUUCGUUGACUUGUCACUUUGAUCUUCUCAACAUUUUUACUUUUCCCUUCGAGUCCCGCAAAUCACGCAGUUAGUAUUAAUGUUUAAUAUGUUAAGUAGGAGUAUUUAUGUUAUCGAUGUUGUUUUGUUUUUGAAUAUUGACUAACAAACACUAAACAUUUCUAAA